CGGAGAAACUUUCAAAUCAAUGUGUAACUGCGAUGAAACUGCAGAAUAGUCAAUAGCUAUGUUAAUUGGAGAACCAAUAGUCAAUGUGCUGAAUAAAUGUUAGGGCCGUAGAAUCAAAUUGGGAGUCGAUUGCCUCUCUACUUUUGCAUCUCUGUUUAUCGAAUUAAAAUGUGCUGAAACUUGAGUUUGAUGUUUGUCGGGAAGCAUUUGAUGAUCCCUGUUCUUCCGUGGCCGUUCUUCUCCAAAGUUCACUGGUAGGUCAGUUUCUAUAACAAUCUACCACAAACGCAGGUAACUUGAUAAUUGAUAAUAUUUUCUUACAUGAUGGGAAAGAAGGGGAAAUUAGCAGUGCUGGUCACGAUGGUUUUGACUGUGACUAUUAUCAUUAUUAUCAUUGUUUUCUACCUUUACCAAUUCAUUGAUAUUCAAACUGUGUUGUGGGUACCAUCCCAUUGAGUUCUUGAUGGUCACAUGGGUAUUGAAGUGUGAAAAGCUUGUUGAUGGCUUUGUCUUCAUGCUAUAUCGAAGAAGCAUCAAAGCUGCAUCAAUUGGCUGAGAUUGUUCUCAAUGGGAACCCAGUCAAGACUUGCUGCAAAGGACGGAUUCAUUUCAGGGUCGACGUUGCUGGCUGGACAGAAGUUGCGAAUUCUACCUUCAAAGGAUGAGCAAUGAGCAAAUCCCAAGAGCCACUAGGUCGUCCAAGGAUAAUCCCCUUUGGGAGAAGCUUUGUUGCAGCUGAGAAAUGUUGAAGCUUGGAGAUGGCAAUUGUAUUGUUUCACUAACCUUUGAUAUCCUUCCAUCCUUUCUCCCUUUGGGAACAUCCCAUGUUGGGCCUCCAGACUCUAGAGCCACAAUAUCAGCACAAGAGACAACACCGGGGCAAUAGGAUUCCAGUUCUUUCUUUGCGUUGUCGAUCACGAAAAACGAGUGCAAAGACAAAUUAGGAGGCCCAUCUUUCUCAGCUUUGUUGUUCCCUACUGAAUUCAGCAGUACAGAUGCAUCACAGCCCUUCACCCAAGCAAACAAAACCAGUCAUGAAAGUGCAUCCGGAGGAGUCCCGCAGGGACAGUCUUGUCUUUGUAAGCUGCACUCUUGACAGCUUUAUUAACGAUGAAGUCAACACCUGGACAUGUCUUCUCGUAGUAGUCUAAGCUCAGUGAACUCCCCGAAGGCAAAACAGACAGCAAAAGCAUUGCAAAGUGUGAGAAUACCACAGCAAAUGAGGCCAUGACCUACAAAUAUAGGAAAUGAAAGGUGAUAGAAGAGUUGCAAUACAAAGCCGUGACAUGAUAGCGGCCCCAGACGUUGAACAAAUGCAAAUAAUGACGAAGUGAUUCUGAAGCAAUGCUGAUCCAACAACAUGCACGACACUGGCUGCUGUUGCUCCUUGAACCUUCAACUUUCGGACUUAGGGAGUGGGACAACAUCAUGCCAAAAUUUUGGUAAUAAUUAUGUUUGCUUUGAAUGAAAGAUCUGGAAACCCAAAUAGGUUAUACCCUCCUCUUGUUGCUAUUGGCAUCUUGGUUGGUCCCCAAUUUGGUGCUCUUUAACGAACGCGGUUGUGGAAACUGUUAUUUGGAUAGAUUGCCAUUCUUUCA
Cucurbita maxima (winter squash) is the source of this 1598-nucleotide long non-coding RNA. RefSeq lists it as uncharacterized. The transcript has 7 exons. The record is from RefSeq and is a predicted model, not a curated record. NCBI's taxonomy places the organism in Eukaryota, Viridiplantae, Streptophyta, Magnoliopsida, Cucurbitales, Cucurbitaceae.